GACGAACGCUGACGGCGUGCUUAACACAUGCAAGUCGAACGGAAAGGCCCUGCUUUUGUGGGGUGCUCGAGUGGCGAACGGGUGAGUAACACGUGAGUAACCUGCCCUUGACUUUGGGAUAACUUCAGGAAACUGGGGCUAAUACCGGAUAGGAGCUCCUGCUGCAUGGUGGGGGUUGGAAAGUUUCGGCGGUUGGGGAUGGACUCGCGGCUUAUCAGCUUGUUGGUGGGGUAGUGGCUUACCAAGGCUUUGACGGGUAGCCGGCCUGAGAGGGUGACCGGCCACAUUGGGACUGAGAUACGGCCCAGACUCCUACGGGAGGCAGCAGUGGGGAAUAUUGCACAAUGGGCGGAAGCCUGAUGCAGCAACGCCGCGUGCGGGAUGACGGCCUUCGGGUUGUAAACCGCUUUCGCCUGUGGCGAAGCGUGAGUGACGGUAAUGGGUAAAGAAGCACCGGCUAACUACGUG
Molecule: ribosomal RNA, 468 nt
Filed under: uncultured bacterium
Lineage: Bacteria
Description: partial 16S ribosomal RNA
Rfam family: Bacterial small subunit ribosomal RNA
Source: RNAcentral